RNAcentral lists this ribosomal RNA (514 nucleotides) under uncultured bacterium. RNAcentral describes it as "bacterial SSU rRNA". It matches the Rfam family "Bacterial small subunit ribosomal RNA", at positions 19 to 518 of the family's 1533-position model. The record is from RNAcentral.
CUGGCUCAGAUGAACGCUGGCGGCGUGCUUAACACAUGCAAGUCGCGCGUGAAAGGACUUCGGUCCGAGUAAAGCGGCGCACGGGUGAGUAACGCGUGGAUGAUCUACCCAUGAGUUAGGAAUAACGGCUGGAAACGGUCGCUAAUACCAAAUACGCUCCGAUUUCAACUUCGGGGGAAAGGUGGCCUCUGCUUGCAAGCUACUGCUCAUGGAUGAGUCCGCGUCCCAUUAGCUAGUUGGUGGGGUAACGGCCCACCAAGGCGACGAUGGGUAGCCGGUCUGAGAGGAUGACCGGCCACACUGGGACUGGAACACGGCCCAGACUCCUACGGGAGGCAGCAGUGGGGAAUAUUGCGCAAUGGGCGAAAGCCUGACGCAGCGACGCCGCGUGAGGGAUGAAAGGUCCUCGGAUCGUAAACCUCUGUCAGGAGGGAAGAACCGCCACGGUGCUAAUCAGCCGUGGUCUGACGGUACCUCCAAAGGAAGCACCGGCUAACUCCGUGCCAGCAGCUGC